Molecule: ribosomal RNA, 401 nt
Filed under: uncultured eukaryote
Lineage: Eukaryota
Description: eukaryotic LSU rRNA
Rfam family: Eukaryotic large subunit ribosomal RNA
Source: RNAcentral
CGGGCUUUAAAAAUAAUUGAUUGCUUUUGUUAAAUUCUAGUAUUAAGCAAGAAACGCAAGUUUCAAGAGCUCUGGUGGGAGCGGUCAUUAAAGAAUUCAAACCUCUUUAGUGAUUGUCUUCUAUUUAUGGUGAGUCAUGAAAGUGAUUUCUCAUAAAUAGAUGGAAAGUCGUCGCAAGGCGUCCUUCUAUUCAUUAUUCUCUUGGGACCUCUGCUCUUGUGACCUAGUUUAAAGACAUUGUCAGGUGGGGAGUUUGGCUGGGGCGGCACAUCUGUUAAAAAUACGCAGGUGUCCUAAGAUAAGCUCAAUGAGAACAGAAAUCUCAUGUAGAACAUAAGGGUAAAAGCUUAUUUGAUUUUGAUUUUCAGUACAAAUACAAACUGUGAAAGCAUGGCUUAGCG